Molecule: ribosomal RNA, 195 nt
Filed under: uncultured eubacterium OCG5
Lineage: Bacteria
Description: partial 16S rRNA
Rfam family: Bacterial small subunit ribosomal RNA
Source: RNAcentral
CCUACGGGAGGCAGCAGUGGGGAAUAUUGCACAAUGCCCGAAAGGGUGAUGCAGCGACGCCAUGUGAGCGAAGAAGGCCUUCGGGUUGUAAAGCUCUUUUAUUUGGGAAGAAUGGCUGUUAUAGGGAAUGAUGACAGCAGAGACGGUACCAAGUGAAUAAGCCCCGGCUAAUUCCGUGCCAGCAGCCGCGGUAAU